CAUGCAAGUCGAACGGCAGCAUGAUCUAGCUUGCUAGAUUGAUGGCGAGUGGCGAACGGGUGAGUAAUACAUCGGAACGUGCCCUGUAGUGGGGGAUAACUAGUCGAAAGAUUAGCUAAUACCGCAUACGACCUGAGGGUGAAAGUGGGGGACCGCAAGGCCUCAUGCUAUAGGAGCGGCCGAUGUCUGAUUAGCUAGUUGGUGAGGUAAAGGCUCACCAAGGCGACGAUCAGUAGCUGGUCUGAGAGGACGAUCAGCCACACUGGGACUGAGACACGGCCCAGACUCCUACGGGAGGCAGCAGUGGGGAAUUUUGGACAAUGGGCGAAAGCCUGAUCCAGCAAUGCCGCGUGUGUGAAGAAGGCCUUCGGGUUGUAAAGCACUUUUGUCCGGAAAGAAAUGGCUCUGGUUAAUACCUGGGGUCGAUGACGGUACCGGAAGAAUAAGGACCGGCUAACUACGUGCCAGCAGCCGCGGUAAUACGUAGGGUCCAAGCGUUAAUCGGAAUUACUGGGCGUAAAGCGUGCGCAGGCGGUUGUGCAAGACCGAUGUGAAAUCCCCGAGCUUAACUUGGGAAUUGCAUUGGUGACUGCACGGCUAGAGUGUGUCAGAGGGGGGUAGAAUUCCACGUGUAGCAGUGAAAUGCGUAGAGAUGUGGAGGAAUACCGAUGGCGAAGGCAGCCCCCUGGGAUAACACUGACGCUCAUGCACGAAAGCGUGGGGAGCAAACAGGAUUAGAUACCCUGGUAGUCCACGCCCUAAACGAUGUCAACUAGUUGUUGGGGAUUCAUUUCCUUAGUAACGUAGCUAACGCGUGAAGUGACCGCCUGGAUAC
This 835-nucleotide ribosomal RNA is filed under the name uncultured bacterium. RNAcentral describes it as "bacterial SSU rRNA". It matches the Rfam family "Bacterial small subunit ribosomal RNA", at positions 54 to 880 of the family's 1533-position model. The record is from RNAcentral.